ACCCAUGUGACUUGAAGCCAGCCUGUGGAUUCCCAUGACUGCUCCAAAACAAGGAAGAGGAGAGCAGAAGACUCCAGGCAUUCUGGCUAAUCAAAUGGCACCAGAGAGAACCAUCCACUGGCCCAAUGGUGGAAUCCAAUUGGACAGCCGAAGGCUUAGAAUGCAUAUAAUAACAGAAGAUAUUCUGCUAUUUCUGAGUAAAGUCCACAUACAGAGAAACUACACGAAAUUAAUUUCAUCAGAAGGCCAGGAGCACUUGGAAGCAUAUGUACAGAGGAAAUGAAAAAGCUACCUUGCAACAAAAUAGUUCUGCCAAAUGGAAGCUGAUAUGUGUACUGAAGGCUUCACAUUCUGCGGGAUAAAGGAAGUAAGAGGCAUGUUUUUGUGGUGUUAAUGCUUUGAGAAAUGACACAAGCAAAGCCCUCCCAGACCAGCGCUGUCGCCUCAGAAAUAAAGGUGGGACACUUCAGUAAAACAGUGCCCUACAGCCUGAUCAAACCUAGAAGCAAUGAUUUAGAAAUGUUGAUCACAAGCUAAUGUCUGAAAUUAACCCAAGCAUGCAAGCAUGACUUAACAAUCACAGAAAUCAUAUUAAGUCAUUGAGUACCAUGUU
Long non-coding RNA from Brienomyrus brachyistius, 613 nucleotides. RefSeq lists it as uncharacterized. The record is from RefSeq and is a predicted model, not a curated record. Lineage: Eukaryota; Metazoa; Chordata; Actinopteri; Osteoglossiformes; Mormyridae. The transcript is spliced from 3 exons.